Molecule: long non-coding RNA, 1345 nt
Organism: Homo sapiens (human)
Lineage: Eukaryota; Metazoa; Chordata; Mammalia; Primates; Hominidae
Exons: 3
Source: RefSeq, a predicted model, not a curated record
CUCCUCAAAUCUCUUCAGUUCUUCAGAGUCUACACAGGAAGGCUCCCAUCCAACAGCACUCAGAGAGGUUGAGAAUCUCACCCAGUAUCACAAAGCCAGUCAGUGGCAGCUCCAGGCCUCAAAGCCUGGACCCUGGCUUUGCCUUUGGAGACAGAUUCUCAGCUGCACACCAGUCACCCAGAUUCCUCAGAAACAGUGGGGCCAGAGGCCCCAUUUUAGAGGCUCAGAGUGGAAGGCAGUGGAAGAGGUGGAGGCAGCUAGGGGAAGAUGAGAGAGGGGUAGAAGGACAAAAGCCUGGGAGUGAAGACUGCCUUUACGUUCACUCCUCAGCUCAGCCCCAGACUGCCGGAGUGACCUUGGCAUCUGUUCUCACUGGCGAACAGCGGCCAUCCGCAGUGAAGGUCUGACCCUGAGUCUCCAGGGUCGGUCCACCUCCCACAACCCAAGUCCACGGAGGACCUCCCUCGUGGCUCUGCACAGCCUGGGCACAGCCAGCAGAGGGCGCCACCUCAGCCACAGUGAAGCCCACAUUGCCCCAGCGCAGGAACAGCCCCAGGAGGAGGCCCCGGCUGGCAGAGGCUGCCUUGCCUGCUGCUUAGCUCUCAGGAGGUCAACUCCCAGGCGAGCCGACCACAGACGCAGCAGCCAGAGCUCAGCAGCCUCAGGGGCUCUCCCAGCAGGAUCUUCAAGCCUAGACUUCUGUUUGGAGAAGGACCACCUCAAGCAGCCCCAGCCUUCCUGAUCUCCCAACACCAGGGGUUGCCUAGGAGCCACGUGGAGCCCUACCAGGAAACCAACCGAAGCUUCCAGAGGUCAAGGACCUUGUCCCGCUCCUCUACGGGGUGGGUAACGCUGCUGUGUGACCUGGGCUCCGCAUAUAAAGUGAGGGACUUUGCUUGAGGGCCCCCAGCACCUCACACUCCAUCCCUGACUUUGGGUCUGCGGUUCCAGCUCCCAGGACUUUCCCACCUCCCGCCCCAGCGUGCUGUUUCUUAGGGCCCAGCUCCCUUGGGAACAGCCAGGCCCGUCCCCUCCCCCUCCCGGGCUGUGCUCCUGGCAGCUCUGCCGCCCUAGGCUCUGGUCCGGGGGUGGUCCCUGGCAGAGAGGGGGCUGGGCAGAAGAUGGGAUGCUGGCGCUGAGAUGCGGGGUAUUCGGAGACCCCCAGGCCCCCACCUCAGAGCCCGCUGUGCUCUAGGCUGGGGUGGGCAGGGCCUUUUGGAAAGGGGUGGCUUGGGGUUUUAAUCACUUUUUCAAUGUUUGUUUGUGUAAUUCAGCCCCGAAAUGCUUUUCCCUCCAUCUGUCCCACCAUCUGCUCCUGUCAGGAUUUUCCAAACCGUUUGGGACC